Molecule: ribosomal RNA, 267 nt
Filed under: uncultured Actinomycetales bacterium
Lineage: Bacteria; Bacillati; Actinomycetota; Actinomycetes; Actinomycetales
Description: partial 16S ribosomal RNA
Rfam family: Bacterial small subunit ribosomal RNA
Source: RNAcentral
UUUGGAUGAGCCCGCGGCCUAUCAGCUUGUUGGUGGGGUGAUGGCCUACCAAGGCGACGACGGGUAGCCGGCCUGAGAGGGCGACCGGCCACACUGGGACUGAGACACGGCCCAGACUCCUACGGGAGGCAGCAGUGGGGAAUAUUGCACAAUGGGCGCAAGCCUGAUGCAGCGACGCCGCGUGAGGGAUGACGGCCUUCGGGUUGUAAACCUCUUUCACCACGCGACGAAGCGAGAGUGACGUACGUCAGCUGUGAUUCGAUCGCC